This 74-nucleotide transfer RNA is filed under the name Saprospiraceae bacterium. RNAcentral describes it as "tRNA-Gly". It matches the Rfam family "tRNA". From Rfam's summary of the family: Transfer RNA (tRNA) molecules are approximately 80 nucleotides in length. Their secondary structure includes four short double-helical elements and three loops (D, anti-codon, and T loops). Lineage: Bacteria; Pseudomonadati; Bacteroidota; Saprospiria; Saprospirales; Saprospiraceae. The record is from RNAcentral.
GCGGGCUUAGUUUAGGGGUAAAAUCAGACUUUGCCAAAGUUUAGUCACCAGUUCGAUUCUGGUAGUCCGCUCCA